Molecule: ribosomal RNA, 347 nt
Filed under: Bellamya sp. 8 AJ-2009
Lineage: Eukaryota; Metazoa; Mollusca; Gastropoda; Architaenioglossa; Viviparidae
Description: SSU rRNA
Rfam family: Eukaryotic small subunit ribosomal RNA
Source: RNAcentral
GUACGGUGAAACCGCGAAUGGCUCAUUAAAUCAGUCGAGGUUCCUUAGAUGAUCCAUUUCUACUUGGAUAACUGUGGUAAUUCUAGAGCUAAUACAUGCCCAACAGCUCCGACCCCGGGCUUCGCGGUUCGGGGAAAGAGCGCUUUUAUUAGUUCAAAACCAGUCGGGGGUUUCGGCCCUCGUGCUUUGGUGACUCUGGAUAACUUUGAGCCGAUCGCAUGGCCUCGAGCCGGCGACGCAUCUUUCAAAUGUCUGCCCUAUCAAAUGACGACGGUACGUGAUCUGCCUACCGUGUUGACUACGGGUAGCGGGGAAUCAGGGUUCGAUUCCGGAGAGGGAGCAUGAGA